Molecule: long non-coding RNA, 798 nt
Organism: Salvelinus sp. IW2-2015
Lineage: Eukaryota; Metazoa; Chordata; Actinopteri; Salmoniformes; Salmonidae
Source: RefSeq, a predicted model, not a curated record
ACCCCCAUCAAGAAGUGUGUGGGCGUCUCUUCAAUUGCUCUUGAAACAAUAACGGCACUUUCGAUUCAUUACCACACAAGCCUUUCAAAUCCGUAUUUAUUUCACCCCAGAAGAUGUGUGGGGCGCAAAAGUCAAACAGCCCAGACAGAAUACAUUAUGUCGAGACAGCCCCUAGGGUUUAAAACAAUGUUAUACCGGUGACAUAUGCAUACUGGGUUCCUCAAAAAAAAACUAAAAACAGGUGUUAUAUCCCAGACGUUGUAGGAAAUCAAAAGGCAAUGCAGCCAGCAUAGAAUAUGUCUAGACAUCCCCUCCUGUUGUUUUAAAUCAUUGUUUUGUUCUCUAAACAUUCUGGGGUACUACAGGUCCAUUUUUGCAUACAGGACGGCGCCCCAUAAAAACACCACCACUCUGUAAAUUUACCCCACAUGACGUGUUAGGGACACGACUUCGGAGGAGCAGAUGAAACAGAUGCUAUUCUAGGGUUUUGUACUAACGGCCUAACUCCAAACACCAGCCAUCAGCCCAGAACAGCUAAAAGAUAAUCGGUGGAUCCUUCCUUUCUCAUGGAACUUUUUUUGAAGGCUAUGAAAAAAACAAAAGACAGGACAUUGACUCCCGAGUGUUGAACUUAUGCCCACUCUACAGCCACCCUGGUUAUUAUAUGACCCUGAGGGUCAUCUACGAACGUUGGAACAUCUUGAAAAACAGAGACUCUGCUUCACUGCAACUCUCUGCUGCCUCACUCUCUGCACCAGGGACUGAAGCUGCUCUUUCUGGCUGACCAUCGCCUCAUGG